Molecule: ribosomal RNA, 327 nt
Filed under: uncultured eukaryote
Lineage: Eukaryota
Description: partial 18S ribosomal RNA
Rfam family: Eukaryotic small subunit ribosomal RNA
Source: RNAcentral
CCCUUAGAUGUUCUGGGCCGCACGCGCGCUACACUGAUUCAUGCAACAAGUUUUGUCCUUUGCUGAUAGGCCUGGGUAAUCUUUGAACGUGAAUCGUGAUGGGGAUAGAUGAUUGCAAUUAUUCAUCUUCAACGAGGAAUUCCUAGUAAACGCAAGUCAUCAGCUUGCAUUGAUUACGUCCCUGCCCUUUGUACACACCGCCCGUCGCACCUACCGAUUGAAUGGUCCGGUGAAAUCUUCGGAUCUGAGAGAUGUCUGAUUAAUUUCGGACGCCUUUUGGAAAAGUUGCUUAAACCUUACCAUUUAGAGGAAGGUGAAGUCGUAACA